UCCAGACUCCUACGGGAGGCAGCAGUGAGGAAUAUUGGUCAAUGGCCGGAAGGCUGAACCAGCCAAGCCGCGUGAAGGACGAAGGUGCCAAGCAUUGUAAACUUCUUUUGUCAAGGGACAAAAUCAGGCUCGAGAGCCUGACCGAGGGUACUUGAAGAAAAAGCAUCGGCUAACUCCGUGCCAGCAGCCGCGGUAAUACGGAGGAUGCGAGCGUUAUCCGGAUUUAUUGGGUUUAAAGGGAGCGUAGACGGGUAAGCAAGUCUGAUGUGAAAAUCCGGGGCCCAACCCCGGAAUUGCAUUGGAAACUGCAUAUCUAGAGUGUCGGAGAGGCAAGUGGAAUUCCUGGUGUAGCGGUGAAAUGCGUAGAUAUCAGGAGGAACACCAGUGGCGAAGGCGGCUUGCUGGACGAUGACUGACGUUGAGGCUCGAAAGCGUGGGGAGCAAACAGGAUUAGAUACCCCAGUAC
This 466-nucleotide ribosomal RNA is filed under the name uncultured bacterium. Its description in RNAcentral is "bacterial SSU rRNA". It matches the Rfam family "Bacterial small subunit ribosomal RNA", at positions 330 to 793 of the family's 1533-position model. The record is from RNAcentral.